This is a non-coding RNA of Acanthosepion pharaonis, 107 nucleotides long. The record is from the annotation of a GenBank genome assembly. Lineage: Eukaryota; Metazoa; Mollusca; Cephalopoda; Sepiida; Sepiidae.
CGCAUCAAGUUGAAACAACGGUUCCCGUACGAUCACCGAAGUUAAGCAACGUCGUAUCUAGCCAGGACUAAGAUGGGUGACCACUUGGAAAUGCCAGAUGCUGUAAG